RNAcentral lists this ribosomal RNA (408 nucleotides) under uncultured bacterium. RNAcentral describes it as "partial 16S ribosomal RNA". It matches the Rfam family "Bacterial small subunit ribosomal RNA", at positions 29 to 526 of the family's 1533-position model. The record is from RNAcentral.
AGUGAACGCUGGCGGCGUGCCUAAUACAUGCAAGUCGAACGGAGUGGCGCACGGGUGAGUAAUAUAUAGCUAAUCUGCCCCUUGCUGGAGGACAACAGUUAGAAAUGACUGCUAAUACUCCAUAGCAAGGGAUGAGACUAUAUCGUAUCAGCUAGUCGGUGGGGUAACGGCCUACCGAGGCUAUGACGCGUAACUGGCCUGAGAGGAUGAUCAGUAACAUUGGAACGGAGACACGGUCCAAACUCCUGCGGGAAGCGGCAGUAGGGAAUAUUGCGCAAUGGGGGGAACCCUGACGCGGCAACGCGGCGUGAAGGAUGACACUGUAAGAAGAGUAAACUCCUUUUGUUAGGGAGGCGGUACCUAACGAGUAAGCACCGGCUAACUCCGUGCCAGCAGCCGCGGUAAUUC